GGAAAUAAGCAGUCAACAGGAAUAUUUGAAGCUUAAAGCACGUUGUGAAGUCCUACAAAGGUCCUCAAGGAAUUUACUAGGGGAGGAUCUGGGUCCUUCAAGCAUUAAAGAGCUUGAAUCACUCGAAAAACAGCUCGAGUCAUCGUUGAAACUCGUCAGAUCAAUGCGGGAGCAUCUACUCAGUGAAGCCAAUCAGACCCUAAAACAAAGGUUGAUAGAAGGCUACCAAGUACAUUCGCUCCGGUUGAACCCAAAUCCUGAAGAUAUCAGUUAUGGCCGACAACCAUCUCACCAACCUCAGGUUCACGGCUUCUUCCACCCAUUGUAGUUUGAACC
Long non-coding RNA from Hibiscus syriacus, 336 nucleotides. RefSeq lists it as uncharacterized. The transcript has 4 exons. Lineage: Eukaryota; Viridiplantae; Streptophyta; Magnoliopsida; Malvales; Malvaceae. The record is from RefSeq and is a predicted model, not a curated record.